Molecule: ribosomal RNA, 396 nt
Filed under: uncultured bacterium
Lineage: Bacteria
Description: bacterial SSU rRNA
Rfam family: Bacterial small subunit ribosomal RNA
Source: RNAcentral
AUUGAACGCUGGCGGCAUGCCUUACACAUGCAAGUCGAACGGCAGCGCGGGGCAACCUGGCGGCGAGUGGCGAACGGGUGAGUAAUAUAUCGGAACAUACCCUAGAGUGGGGGAUAACGUAGCGAAAGUUACGCUAAUACCGCAUACGCACUAAGGUGGAAAGUGGGGGAUCUUCGGACCUCAUGCUCAUGGAGUGGCCGAUAUCUGAUUAGCUAGUUGGUGAGGUAAAGGCUCACCAAGGCAACGAUCAGUAGCUGGUUUGAGAGAACGACCAGCCACACUGGAACUGAGACACGGUCCAGACUCCUACGGGAGGCAGCAGUGGGGAAUUUUGGACAAUGGGGGGCAACCCUGAUCCAGCAAUGCCGCGUGAGUGAAGAAGGCCUCGGUUGUAAG